UCUUUGCUUUGUGUGCUAAAGUCAACAGUCGCUCGGUUUGAGCUCAAAUAAAUGCAGGGAUGCCUUGGCUGGGAGCAGUCCGCCGCCUCCCUCCGAGCGCAGGACGCUCCGACGCCCGCCUGCCCGCAGGCCACCGCAGGUUGGGAAUUACACAGCAAGAUGGCUUUUCUUACUCCACCAUGGCCAGAACCUCUUCUGUGGGGGCUGAAGCCCAUUGAUUUGGCUUCAUUUGGAUACAUUUCAAGGGAAUCCACUCUUUACUGAUGUCUGAAUCUGCUGAAAUCUACCCUUUUUCUUGAACAGUUUCAUGCAUAUGUAGUACAUGCAUACAGAUGCAUAUGUCAUCUAACCAACACCAUGAUCCAGGCUCAGAAGCCUUUGGCUCUAAGAAAACGACCUUGUGCCCCUUUGAUAGUCAUUGAACAUGAUCGGUAUGGAAUAAUGUUAAGGUUCUCCGAAGAGUCCUAAAUGGUUGAAGAACACCCCUCAAGAGAUGGAAAGAUUCUAAGAGCCAGAGGGAAUGGAGGACUCCAAGGAAACACAACGGGACUGAUGACCACAUGAACUCUCAGAGACUCUAGCAGCUUGCACCAGGCCUGUACAGGUUCAAGCCAGAUGGGCUCCAGCACUGAGAGGGGAAUUGGGCAUGGAUUUCUACUCCUUACCAAGAAGUUCUCUGCAGCUGAUACUGAAAUGAAGUAUCACUGAGUAUAUUAACCAUACUUCAAGGUGCUUACAGACUAAUGGUCAUGCUACAGAAAACACAAGAAGUGUAAUUAAACAAAAGUCAUAUUUAUUCAGCAGAAGACCUAUACAACCAUCUGUAACUCCAC
Long non-coding RNA from Mastomys coucha (southern multimammate mouse), 833 nucleotides. RefSeq lists it as uncharacterized. The transcript has 6 exons. The record is from RefSeq and is a predicted model, not a curated record. NCBI's taxonomy places the organism in Eukaryota, Metazoa, Chordata, Mammalia, Rodentia, Muridae.